AAAGACUCGUUAUGAAACUCGACGCAUUACCUACGGCGACAAUAAGCCACGACGUGUUGCAGCAUACUCCCCUCAUAUAUCCAUUUACAUUACCAUACAUAUACACCAUUUUUCAAAUCCCUAAAUCGGCGCAAGUUUUUCCUCCCCUUUCUCCAUCCUACAAAUUAAGCUUCAUGGUAUCAUUCUUCUGCUCAAGGGUCGCACGACUCAGCAUCAUGGUAUCAACAAUUGAGCUUCGGAGCUUCGAGCUUCAAGGGUGCUGGUCUAUGGAAUAUGAAUGA
This is a non-coding RNA of Vicia faba (fava bean), 281 nucleotides long. The record is from the annotation of a GenBank genome assembly. NCBI's taxonomy places the organism in Eukaryota, Viridiplantae, Streptophyta, Magnoliopsida, Fabales, Fabaceae.